RNAcentral lists this ribosomal RNA (625 nucleotides) under Salmonella enterica. RNAcentral's name for it is "partial 23S ribosomal RNA". It matches the Rfam family "Bacterial large subunit ribosomal RNA", at positions 711 to 1332 of the family's 2925-position model. The record is from RNAcentral. Lineage: Bacteria; Pseudomonadati; Pseudomonadota; Gammaproteobacteria; Enterobacterales; Enterobacteriaceae.
AGACCCGAAACCCGGUGAUCUAGCCAUGGGCAGGUUGAAGGUUGGGUAACACUAACUGGAGGACCGAACCGACUAAUGUUGAAAAAUUAGCGGAUGACCUGUGGCUGGGGGUGAAAGGCCAAUCAAACCGGGAGAUAGCUGGUUCUCCCCGAAAGCUAUUUAGGUAGCGCCUCGUGAAUUCAUCUCCGGGGGUAGAGCACUGUUUCGGCUAGGGGGCCAUCCCGGCUUACCAACCCGAUGCAAACUGCGAAUACCGGAGAAUGUUAUCACGGGAGACACACGGCGGGUGCUAACGUCCGUCGUGAAGAGGGAAACAACCCAGACCGCCAGCUAAGGUCCCAAAGUCAUGGUUAAGUGGGAAACGAUGUGGGAAGGCCCAGACAGCCAGGAUGUUGGCUUAGAAGCAGCCAUCAUUUAAAGAAAGCGUAAUAGCUCACUGGUCGAGUCGGCCUGCGCGGAAGAUGUAACGGGGCUAAACCAUGCACCGAAGCUGCGGCAGCGACGCUGAUGCGUUGUUGGGUAGGGGAGCGUUCUGUAAGCCUGCGAAGGUGGCCUGUGAGGGUUGCUGGAGGUAUCAGAAGUGCGAAUGCUGACAUAAGUAACGAUAAAGCGGGUGAAAAGCCCG